Molecule: unclassified non-coding RNA, 275 nt
Filed under: Arthrographis sp.
Lineage: Eukaryota; Fungi; Ascomycota; Dothideomycetes; Eremomycetales; Eremomycetaceae
Description: partial internal transcribed spacer region
Source: RNAcentral
AAGUCGUAACAAGGUUUCCGUAGGUAAGUCGGCAUCGCUCCACGCUCUGCCCCCACGGGACCCCCGCUAACCAACGUCCAGGUGAACCUGCGGAAGGAUCAUUAUCGAGUGCCGGGCGCAAGCCCGUACCCGCACCCAGUGUCGACUCUCUCUGUUGCUUCGGCGCGCACGCCCCGGCGGCGCCGCCGAAGGACCCAACCAAACGCAUGGCAAACCGGUCCGUCCGAGGAUACGCAAAUCAGUCAAAACUUUCAACAACGGAUCUCUUGGUUCGG